Molecule: ribosomal RNA, 391 nt
Filed under: uncultured bacterium
Lineage: Bacteria
Description: bacterial SSU rRNA
Rfam family: Bacterial small subunit ribosomal RNA
Source: RNAcentral
GACGAACGCUGGCGGCGUGCUUAACACAUGCAAGUCGCACGGGGCUGGGGGCAACUCCAGCUCAGUGGCGGACGGGUGCGUAACACGUAAGCAACAUGUCCAAGGGUGGGGGAUAGCCGGCCCAACGGCCGGGUAAUACCGCAUGCAGUCACCGGCGGCAUCACAGGUGACGAAAGCCGGGGCAACCUGGCGCCCAUGGAGUGGCUUGCGGCCUAUCAGCUAGUUGGGGGGUAAUGGCCCACCAAGGCUACGACGGGUAGCUGGUCUGAGAGGAUGACCAGCCACAUUGGGACUGAGACACGGCCCAGACUCCUACGGGAGGCAGCAGUGGGGAAUCUUGCGCAAUGGGCGAAAGCCUGACGCAGCGACGCCGCGUGAGGGAUGACGGCCU